CAGACAAUCAGGGAAAGGCUGGGGAGCGCCUGCAGCUCAACCUGACAAAACCCCGGAGGAAAGUGCUCUACUUCCAGCUGGCGCAUGGGACGGGAUCGAAAACCCUUUGUAUGCCUCUGUGGGAACAAGGAGACGGGGGGAAAAUUUUCCAUGGCAGCUGCGCUUGGAUUUCGGCAGAGAUGUGACAGUCGGAUGCCACCUGCCAUCACAGACCUCAUGUACAAACAGGAUGGCUGAUUUCACUUUGGUUCUUUCAUUUCUCAGCUGGGAGAAGCAGCUACUUCAAGAGUCCAUUUGCACACUCCUGCAGUUUUAGUGUGAGCUCUGCCUUGUUCUCACAGCCCCCAGCCCUUGCCAUCAGGUGGCUGAGACUCCAAGCUUUCAUCUUUAAAAAGAAAGUACCUUUACAGCCUUCUGGCUUGCAGAGAAAAGACUGAAAAGUUGCCCUGAGUGUGAGUUAAAGGCAUAAAACUGGGAAAACAAUCAAAUGAACACAGCACUUCCAAAUAAACACUGAGACAUUAGGUGGUUUUUAAAGGCAAUCUCCGUUGUUUUGGGGAGAGCUUGAGUUGGCAGUGUUUUAACAGUAAGUGCAUGGUCAAGGGAGCUGCAGAGCUGGUACACGCACCGUGGCCUCUAUUCCUUGUCCCACUGCAGGCACUAAUCAGCCCCAUUGCAGGGGCACCCAGAGCUUAUCCAGAGUAAGUGGCAGAGCCCUCACAGCUCCCAUUGGUGCCAUGGCCAGCAGGGAGCAUGGCCAGCUCCUCACCUCUACAUCCCUCCAUGCUAAAAACACCCGUAUUCUGUCCACCCCAUAAGAUCUUCAGUAACACUGAAAUUACAGCAAGCCUGAAAAAUACUUACAAACCUUCCUGUUGGAAGUCUUCCCAUAAAUGGAAGAGGUCUUUCCUAUGACCCCUGCCCAAGAGGGACUGCUGCUACAGAGUCUGCCAUCCCACACCAUUGCAUCUUUUUUCUCCUCCUUUUGUGCCCGAACUCUCCCAAGGCACACAGGAAAGGGGCUCAGAAGCCAUUCAAGGUAAAUCUCAGCAAAGGAGGCUCCUCUCCAGACACCAAGGGAUGCAAUUCCC
This is a long non-coding RNA of Neopsephotus bourkii (Bourke's parrot), 1091 nucleotides long. RefSeq lists it as uncharacterized. The transcript is spliced from 4 exons. The record is from RefSeq and is a predicted model, not a curated record. NCBI's taxonomy places the organism in Eukaryota, Metazoa, Chordata, Aves, Psittaciformes, Psittacidae.